Non-coding RNA from Arachis ipaensis, 299 nucleotides. Lineage: Eukaryota; Viridiplantae; Streptophyta; Magnoliopsida; Fabales; Fabaceae. The record is from RefSeq and is a predicted model, not a curated record.
GGAGUCUAAUUCACUCUGGGGCUUCAACUCCGAUGAGGCCCCGAAAUGGUGGGAUGGAAUCUCAUUCUGGUGAGGGUCAUCAAGGAUCAUGGAAUCCUUAUUGCAAGGUGUUUGAGAAGAAGGUUGAAGAUCAUGCAAGGAAGUUGAGCCCUCUUGAAAGCUGAGCAUUGGCUUGGGAUGAAGCAAAACGUGCAAAGUAUAUGCCCAGGUUCAAUCGUGAAGAGGUGAGGAUUCAAUCAUAUUAUAUGUACGGUGCCAAACUGCCAUUCAACACCACUACCAUUCAAAAAAGCGGUGAA